GCUGCCGUACAUUACUUCACCUCCNACGCCAGGGAAUUACGAGCAAUGCUUAAAACCCAAAGGAUUUGACGGUGUCCCACCCCACUAGAGGAGCCUGUUCUAUAAUCGAUGAUCCCCGCUUCACCCGACCGUUCCUCGCCUAUCAGUCUGUAUACCUCCGUCGAAAGCUUACCAUGUGAACGCCAGCAGUAAGCUUAAUGAUAUUACCAUCAACACGUCAGGUCAAGGUGCAGCUUAAGGAACGGGAAGCAAUGGGCUACAAUUUCUAAUCUAGAACAAACGAAAGAUUAUGUGAAAUCCUAAUCAUGAAGGUGGAUUUAGUAGUAAAAAGGAAAUAGAGUGUUCUUUUUAACUCGGCUCUGGGACGCGU
This 370-nucleotide ribosomal RNA is filed under the name Rana aurora (red-legged frog). Its description in RNAcentral is "partial 12S ribosomal RNA". It matches the Rfam family "Bacterial small subunit ribosomal RNA", at positions 842 to 1384 of the family's 1533-position model. Lineage: Eukaryota; Metazoa; Chordata; Amphibia; Anura; Ranidae. The record is from RNAcentral.